AGGCUGUAUCCCCCAGAACAGUCUGCUCUCCAGGACCACUGGAGCCCAGAAACCAAGGCAGAGACAGAAGAAAAGAGCCAAGGGAAGGCAAUGCCCCCACAACAAACACCUGAGGUGCCAGUACACCAAUAUGUAUGGCCUCCUGCAGCCAGGAGCAGUGGAGGAGUAGCCAGCACUCCUAUAUGUCCCUGGGGACUCACUCCCCAGCCCUGAUGAUUAUCCUGAUGAAGCUGCCACAUGCCCCUGCAAAUCAAGGAAAUUCUUCACUUACUGUAGAGCCACAGUUCUUUGCCCAUCAGCUCCCUCUGUGUCUGCAGGAGGCUCUGCAACCGGCGGUCAGUUCUCAUGUGCUCUACCUGCCCAGCUCUGCAAAACAAGACAGUAGCAUGCCAGGGAUCUACCAAAGCCAUCACAUACUGGAUGCACUGCAGAGUGAUGAAAGCAUUGCAGGACUAUUGUAGUUAUCUGGAGCAUGCCCAUCACCAUAGUAUCUGGGCAAUGUUAUUGUGGUGGCCAAGCACUAAAUACCCAGAUACCUGGUGAAUGUGCCUUUGAGGAGCUCCUCAGCUGAGGCAGGUGGCCCUGAGAAAGAAUCUGCCAGAGCACCUUGAUAUUUCUAUUAGACAUGGAGGGCAAAAAAGAUGCAAGUGAUGACAGCAAGGUCCAACACCGGACUAGGGCGCCCGUGGGGCUACUUCAUGCACCUGAACAAAGAGCCUUCUGGAAUGGACGGACAAAACAACGCAGUGUUCCUGGAGCCAGAAAGGGAAGCAGUGAGACGAGCUGCGGAGGUGACAUCUAGCCACCAAGAUGUCCAGGCCUUACCUUGGCCCCUGCUCUAUAACCGUUGCUGGAGCAGCAAUGGACUGAUUACUGGUCUCUUGUGGGUCACUUUGGCUCAGGUCUUCAACAGCCUGAGAAGCCAAACCGUGAAGUACUUGACAUAGCUAAUCCAGGUGAAUCUGUGUCUAUUGCAUUCAUGUCCCUGGAACUGUCUGACUAAGACUGGAUUUCAAGCCUGGAAGGGGGCUCCUCUCCCACCCCAGCUUUAGUAGGUGCUCAUAUAGUCGCAGUCACUGCUGACUCUUAGAUCCACACCCCUCUGACUGCACACUGGGAGCCUAGAUCCUUGCACCAGAGAGCUCCAUUUACACACCAAAUCACCUGGGCUGAGGCCUGCAACAGCUACUUCCAUUCAUUCACAAUGUUUACGGCGCCCUCAGGUGGUGAAAAGCAGAAAAAGAUAAGAUGUUUAGUAUUCAAA
Molecule: long non-coding RNA, 1264 nt
Organism: Trachemys scripta elegans
Lineage: Eukaryota; Metazoa; Chordata; Testudines; Emydidae
Exons: 2
Source: RefSeq, a predicted model, not a curated record